Tachyglossus aculeatus (Australian echidna) is the source of this 138-nucleotide small nucleolar RNA. The record is from RefSeq and is a predicted model, not a curated record. NCBI's taxonomy places the organism in Eukaryota, Metazoa, Chordata, Mammalia, Monotremata, Tachyglossidae.
CCCCUCUCAGGCUCACACCUGGAGAGUUUCUGGUACUCUACCAGUCUCGACUACAGGAGGGAAAGUCAACCAGAGCCAUAUCCAUUCCAUUCCUAGCUUGGACAGCGGCUAGCAAGUGGAAGGCAAUCUGCCACAUGU